RNAcentral lists this ribosomal RNA (253 nucleotides) under uncultured bacterium. Its description in RNAcentral is "partial 16S ribosomal RNA". It matches the Rfam family "Bacterial small subunit ribosomal RNA", at positions 524 to 776 of the family's 1533-position model. The record is from RNAcentral.
GACGUAGGUGGCGAACGUUAUCCGGAAUUACUGGGCGUAAAGCGUGCGUAGGCGGUUUGUUAAGUCCGUUGUGAAAGCCCUGGGCUCAACCUGGGAAUUGCAGUGGAUACUGGCGAGCUAGAGUGCGGUAGAGGAUGGUGGAAUUCCCGGUGUAGCGGUGAAAUGCGUAGAGAUCGGGAGGAACACCCGUGGCGAAGGCGGCCAUCUGGACCAGCACUGACGCUGAGGCAUGAAAGCGUGGGGAGCAAACAGG